AACGAACGCUGGCGGCGCGCUUAACACAUGCAAGUCGAACGAGAAGGCGUAGCAAUACGCUUGUACAGUGGCGAACGGGUGAGUAAUACGUGGGCGACCUACCCUCGAGUGGGGAAGUAACCCGCCGAAAGGCGGGCUAAUGCCGCGUACGCUUCCAUCUUUAUGGAGGUGGAAGGAAAGCCGUGCCGUGGGCACGGCGCUCAAGGAUGGGCUCACGUCCUAUCAGCUUGUUGGUAGGGAACGGCCUACCAAGGCUCCGACGGGUAGCUGGUCUGAGAGGACGAUCAGCCACACUGGCACUGCGACACGGGCCAGACUCCUACGGGAGGCAGCAGUGAGGAAUAUUGCGCAAUGGGCGAAAGCCUGACGCAGCGACGCCGCGUGGGGGAGUGAAGGGU
RNAcentral lists this ribosomal RNA (398 nucleotides) under uncultured bacterium. RNAcentral's name for it is "bacterial SSU rRNA". It matches the Rfam family "Bacterial small subunit ribosomal RNA", at positions 29 to 416 of the family's 1533-position model. The record is from RNAcentral.